UACGAAGGGGGCUAGCGUUGCUCGGAAUCACUGGGCGUAAAGCGCACGUAGGCGGGUUCUUAAGUCAGGGGUGAAAUCCUGGAGCUCAACUCCAGAACUGCCUUUGAUACUGGGAAUCUCGAGUCCGGGAGAGGUGAGUGGAACUGCGAGUGUAGAGGUGAAAUUCGUAGAUAUUAGGAAGAACACCAGUGGCGAAGGCGGCUCACUGGUCCGGUACUGACGCUGAGGUGCGAAAGCGUGGGGAGCAAACAGG
This 253-nucleotide ribosomal RNA is filed under the name uncultured bacterium. RNAcentral describes it as "partial 16S ribosomal RNA". It matches the Rfam family "Bacterial small subunit ribosomal RNA", at positions 524 to 776 of the family's 1533-position model. The record is from RNAcentral.